ACCUGCCUUCUGCCCUUAGGCUCCGGUAGACUGCAAAUGACCUGCUUUCUUUCUGUUCCCGGGCUGCGUUUGGACCCCUGUCGGAUAGUAAAUCCCAAGUAAGGUACCUGCCCUCGGCAGAUUUGAGCUUUCUUCUUGGACACCUAAUACCCACAGUCCCCCAGUAAAUCCCAAGUAAGGUACCUGCCCUCGGCAGAUUUGAGCUUUCUUCUUGGACACCUAAUACCCACAGUCCUCCAGGAAUGGAACAGAUAAGAAGAUACUGAAAUUGGACGGUGCUGCCGUGCGGCUGCCGCAGGACACCUUUAAUAUCCCUGUUUCUCAGGCUGUAGAUGAAGGGGUUCAGCAUGGAGGUGAUCACCGUGUACAUCACUGAGGCCACUGCAGCCUUUCUCGGGGAAGAUGACACAUCUGAACUGAGGUACCCUCCAAAGCCUGUUCCGUAAAAUCAGCAAACAACUGACAGGAUAACUUCAGGAAGUGGGUAUUAAUUCUCACGGUAUAAGUGAAGACAUUAAGCACCAGAGUUUAAGUAGCUUGAUCCACUGAAAGAGAUUCAACUGUGUGGAACCUAUGCCGUGGAGAAUUGCUUUCUGCCAUUGUUAUCGUCCAGCAGUUGCCGAAUAGCUCUGACCUGAGCAAAGCAGUGAAACGCGGUGCUGUUGAGUGGGUUGCCACUGCACCUUUUUCAACUACUCUAGUCUUGUGGAGAAAAUACCCCUUCUAAAUUUUUUCUUCAUUGAAUACUCUCCCUCAGCUCCAGAGUACCAUAUAGAGUUUUCUUGUAUUUUAGAGUUACUGUUUUAUCAAAGUUUACCAGUCUUUUGUAUUACAUUUCUCCUGUCUAAA
Molecule: long non-coding RNA, 849 nt
Filed under: Homo sapiens (human)
Lineage: Eukaryota; Metazoa; Chordata; Mammalia; Primates; Hominidae
Description: long intergenic non-protein coding RNA 1198
Source: RNAcentral